GACGAACGCUGGCGGCGUGCCUAAUACAUGCAAGUCGAGCGCAGUAUGGUGGUACUUGUACCGACUGGAUGAGCAGCCAACGGGUGAGUGAGGCGUGGGGUAUCUGCCUUUCUGCGGGGGACAACUGUAAGAAACUACUGCUAAUACCGCAUAUAAACUUUAAACACCUUAUUUAUGUUAAAACUAUGCACUUGCAUAACUCACAUAUGAUCCCGCGAUGUAUUAGCUAGUUGGUGAGCUAACGGCGCACCAGGGCGAUGAUACGUAGCCGACAGGAGAGGAUGGGCAGCCACACUGGGACGGAGAAAGGGCACAAACUCCUAGGGGAAGGGGCAGUAGGGAAUCUUCAGGAAUGAGCGGAAGUCAUACCGAGCAACGCCACGUGAGUGAAGAAGGAUUUCUGAGUGUAAAACGCUGUUGGUAGGGAAGAACGUUGGUUAGAGUGGAGAGCAAAACGAUGACGGCUAAAAAAGCAGAAAGGAAGGGUAAACUCGGG
This 496-nucleotide ribosomal RNA is filed under the name uncultured bacterium. Its description in RNAcentral is "partial 16S ribosomal RNA". It matches the Rfam family "Bacterial small subunit ribosomal RNA", at positions 28 to 506 of the family's 1533-position model. The record is from RNAcentral.